CGAGGGUUCAGCUGUCUCUUACUUUUAACCAGUGAAAUUGACCUGCCCGUGAAGAGGCGGGCAUGACACAGCAAGACGAGAAGACCCUAUGGAGCUUAAAUUAUAUAACUUAUCUAUUUAAUUUAUUAAACCUAAUGGCCCAAAAACUAUAGUAUAAGUUUGAAAUUUCGGUUGGGGUGACCUCGGAGAAUAAAAAAUCCUCCGAAUGAUUAUAACCUAGACUUACAAGUCAAAGUAAAAUCAACAUAUCUUAUUGACCCAGAUAUAUUUUGAUCAACGGACCAAGUUACCCUAGGGAUAACAGCGCAAUCCUAUUCUAGAGUCCAUAUCAACAAUAGGGUUUACGACCUCGAUGUUGGAUCAGGACAUCCCGAUGGUGCAGCCGCUAUUAAAGGUUCGUUUGUUCAACGAUUAAAGUCCUACGUGAUCUGAGUUCAGACCGGAGUAAUCCAGGUCGGUUUCUAUCUACUUCAAAUUCCUCCCUGU
Molecule: ribosomal RNA, 486 nt
Filed under: Aeromonas veronii
Lineage: Bacteria; Pseudomonadati; Pseudomonadota; Gammaproteobacteria; Aeromonadales; Aeromonadaceae
Description: partial 23S ribosomal RNA
Rfam family: Bacterial large subunit ribosomal RNA
Source: RNAcentral